RNAcentral lists this ribosomal RNA (472 nucleotides) under uncultured bacterium. RNAcentral's name for it is "bacterial SSU rRNA". It matches the Rfam family "Bacterial small subunit ribosomal RNA", at positions 328 to 793 of the family's 1533-position model. The record is from RNAcentral.
CUCUGUGACUCCUACGGGAGGCAGCAGUGGGGAAUAUUGCACAAUGGGCGCAAGCCUGAUGCAGCCAUGCCGCGUGUAUGAAGAAGGCCUUCGGGUUGUAAAGUACUUUCAGCAGUGAGGAAGGUGGGUAUGUUAAUAGCAUAUUCAUUUGACGUUAGCUGCAGAAGAAGCACCGGCUAACUCCGUGCCAGCAGCCGCGGUAAUACGGAGGGUGCGAGCGUUAAUCGGAAUUACUGGGCGUAAAGCGCAUGCAGGUGGUUUGUUAAGUCAGAUGUGAAAGCCCGGGGCUCAACCUCGGAAUUGCAUUUGAAACUGGCAAACUAGAGUACUGUAGAGGGGGUAGAAUUUCAGGUGUAGCGGUGAAAUGCGUAGAGAUCUGAAGGAAUACCGGUGGCGAAGGCGGCCCCCUGGACAGAUACUGACACUCAGAUGCGAAAGCGUGGGGAGCAAACAGGAUUAGAUACCCUGGUAG